GUCCCCUUCGUCUAGAGGCCAGGACACCGCCCUUUCACGGCGGUAACAGGGGUUCGAACUCCCCGUAGGGGACGCCA
Molecule: transfer RNA, 77 nt
Filed under: Escherichia coli DEC1B
Lineage: Bacteria; Pseudomonadati; Pseudomonadota; Gammaproteobacteria; Enterobacterales; Enterobacteriaceae
Description: tRNA-Glu
Rfam family: tRNA
About the family: Transfer RNA (tRNA) molecules are approximately 80 nucleotides in length. Their secondary structure includes four short double-helical elements and three loops (D, anti-codon, and T loops).
Source: RNAcentral